Molecule: ribosomal RNA, 423 nt
Filed under: Sparganium erectum
Lineage: Eukaryota; Viridiplantae; Streptophyta; Magnoliopsida; Poales; Typhaceae
Description: eukaryotic LSU rRNA
Rfam family: Eukaryotic large subunit ribosomal RNA (bases 283-423)
Source: RNAcentral
UGCAGAAUCCCGUGAACCAUCGAGUCUUUGAGUGCAAGUUGCGCCUAAGGCCUUCUAGUCGAGGGCACGCCUGCCUGGGCGUCAUGCAAACAACGCUCCGCCCCCUCUGCCCCUUGGGUGGGCGGACAUGGACGAUGGCCCUCCGCGCCCACGGAUGCGGUGGGCUGAAGCACUAGCCGUCGGCAGGGACCGAGACACUCGAGCCGGACGUCGUGCCUUAGGCGCCCUUCAAGGAAGGCCCUCCGAACCCUUUUAACCGAGGCGCUUGCCGUCAUCGGACCGCGACCCCAGGUCAGGCGGGACUACCCGCUAAGUUUAAGCAUAUAAAUAAGUAGAGGAUAAGCAACUUAGAAGGAUUCCUCUAGUAACGACGAGUGAACCGGGAACUGCCCAGCUUGAGAAUCGGACGGCUCUGUCAUCCGA